GAUGAACGCUGGCGGCGUGCCUAAUACAUGCAAGUCGAGCGAACAGACGAGGAGCUUGCUCCUCUGACGUUAGCGGCGGACGGGUGAGUAACACGUGGAUAACCUACCUAUAAGACUGGGAUAACUUCGGGAAACCGGAGCUAAUACCGGAUAAUAUAUUGAACCGCAUGGUUCAAUAGUGAAAGACGGUUUUGCUGUCACUUAUAGAUGGAUCCGCGCCGCAUUAGCUAGUUGGUAAGGUAACGGCUUACCAAGGCAACGAUGCGUAGCCGACCUGAGAGGGUGAUCGGCCACACUGGAACUGAGACACGGUCCAGCCUCCUACGGGAGGCAGCAGUAGGGAAUCUUCCGCAAUGGGCGAAGGCUUGACGGAGCAACGCCGCGUGAUUGAUGAAGGUCUUCGGAUCGUAAAACUCUGUUAUUAGGGAAGAACAAAUGUGUAAGUAACUAUGCACGUCUUGACGGUACCUAAUCAGAAAGCCACGGCUAACUACGUG
This 497-nucleotide ribosomal RNA is filed under the name uncultured bacterium. RNAcentral describes it as "partial 16S ribosomal RNA". It matches the Rfam family "Bacterial small subunit ribosomal RNA", at positions 28 to 507 of the family's 1533-position model. The record is from RNAcentral.